RNAcentral lists this ribosomal RNA (2902 nucleotides) under Escherichia coli DEC15C. Its description in RNAcentral is "bacterial LSU rRNA". It matches the Rfam family "Bacterial large subunit ribosomal RNA". Lineage: Bacteria; Pseudomonadati; Pseudomonadota; Gammaproteobacteria; Enterobacterales; Enterobacteriaceae. The record is from RNAcentral.
UUAAGCGACUAAGCGUACACGGUGGAUGCCCUGGCAGUCAGAGGCGAUGAAGGACGUGCUAAUCUGCGAUAAGCGUCGGUAAGGUGAUAUGAACCGUUAUAACCGGCGAUUUCCGAAUGGGGAAACCCAGUGUGAUUCGUCACACUAUCAUUAACUGAAUCCAUAGGUUAAUGAGGCGAACCGGGGGAACUGAAACAUCUAAGUACCCCGAGGAAAAGAAAUCAACCGAGAUUCCCCCAGUAGCGGCGAGCGAACGGGGAGCAGCCCAGAGCCUGAAUCAGUGUGUGUGUUAGUGGAAGCGUCUGGAAAGGCGCGCGAUACAGGGUGACAGCCCCGUACACAAAAAUGCACAUAUUGUGAGCUCGAUGAGUAGGGCGGGACACGUGGUAUCCUGUCUGAAUAUGGGGGGACCAUCCUCCAAGGCUAAAUACUCCUGACUGACCGAUAGUGAACCAGUACCGUGAGGGAAAGGCGAAAAGAACCCCGGCGAGGGGAGUGAAAAAGAACCUGAAACCGUGUACGUACAAGCAGUGGGAGCACGCUUAGGCGUGUGACUGCGUACCUUUUGUAUAAUGGGUCAGCGACUUAUAUUCUGUAGCAAGGUUAACCGAAUAGGGGAGCCGAAGGGAAACCGAGUCUUAACUGGGCGUUAAGUUGCAGGGUAUAGACCCGAAACCCGGUGAUCUAGCCAUGGGCAGGUUGAAGGUUGGGUAACACUAACUGGAGGACCGAACCGACUAAUGUUGAAAAAUUAGCGGAUGACUUGUGGCUGGGGGUGAAAGGCCAAUCAAACCGGGAGAUAGCUGGUUCUCCCCGAAAGCUAUUUAGGUAGCGCCUCGUGAAUUCAUCUCCGGGGGUAGAGCACUGUUUCGGCAAGGGGGUCAUCCCGACUUACCAACCCGAUGCAAACUGCGAAUACCGGAGAAUGUUAUCACGGGAGACACACGGCGGGUGCUAACGUCCGUCGUGAAGAGGGAAACAACCCAGACCGCCAGCUAAGGUCCCAAAGUCAUGGUUAAGUGGGAAACGAUGUGGGAAGGCCCAGACAGCCAGGAUGUUGGCUUAGAAGCAGCCAUCAUUUAAAGAAAGCGUAAUAGCUCACUGGUCGAGUCGGCCUGCGCGGAAGAUGUAACGGGGCUAAACCAUGCACCGAAGCUGCGGCAGCGACGCUUAUGCGUUGUUGGGUAGGGGAGCGUUCUGUAAGCCUGCGAAGGUGUGCUGUGAGGCAUGCUGGAGGUAUCAGAAGUGCGAAUGCUGACAUAAGUAACGAUAAAGCGGGUGAAAAGCCCGCUCGCCGGAAGACCAAGGGUUCCUGUCCAACGUUAAUCGGGGCAGGGUGAGUCGACCCCUAAGGCGAGGCCGAAAGGCGUAGUCGAUGGGAAACAGGUUAAUAUUCCUGUACUUGGUGUUACUGCGAAGGGGGGACGGAGAAGGCUAUGUUGGCCGGGCGACGGUUGUCCCGGUUUAAGCGUGUAGGCUGGUUUUCCAGGCAAAUCCGGAAAAUCAAGGCUGAGGCGUGAUGACGAGGCACUACGGUGCUGAAGCAACAAAUGCCCUGCUUCCAGGAAAAGCCUCUAAGCAUCAGGUAACAUCAAAUCGUACCCCAAACCGACACAGGUGGUCAGGUAGAGAAUACCAAGGCGCUUGAGAGAACUCGGGUGAAGGAACUAGGCAAAAUGGUGCCGUAACUUCGGGAGAAGGCACGCUGAUAUGUAGGUGAAGUCCCUUGCGGAUGGAGCUGAAAUCAGUCGAAGAUACCAGCUGGCUGCAACUGUUUAUUAAAAACACAGCACUGUGCAAACACGAAAGUGGACGUAUACGGUGUGACGCCUGCCCGGUGCCGGAAGGUUAAUUGAUGGGGUCAGCGCAAGCGAAGCUCUUGAUCGAAGCCCCGGUAAACGGCGGCCGUAACUAUAACGGUCCUAAGGUAGCGAAAUUCCUUGUCGGGUAAGUUCCGACCUGCACGAAUGGCGUAAUGAUGGCCAGGCUGUCUCCACCCGAGACUCAGUGAAAUUGAACUCGCUGUGAAGAUGCAGUGUACCCGCGGCAAGACGGAAAGACCCCGUGAACCUUUACUAUAGCUUGACACUGAACAUUGAGCCUUGAUGUGUAGGAUAGGUGGGAGGCUUUGAAGUGUGGACGCCAGUCUGCAUGGAGCCGACCUUGAAAUACCACCCUUUAAUGUUUGAUGUUCUAACGUUGACCCGUGAUCCGGGUUGCGGACAGUGUCUGGUGGGUAGUUUGACUGGGGCGGUCUCCUCCUAAAGAGUAACGGAGGAGCACGAAGGUUGGCUAAUCCUGGUCGGACAUCAGGAGGUUAGUGCAAUGGCAUAAGCCAGCUUGACUGCGAGCGUGACGGCGCGAGCAGGUGCGAAAGCAGGUCAUAGUGAUCCGGUGGUUCUGAAUGGAAGGGCCAUCGCUCAACGGAUAAAAGGUACUCCGGGGAUAACAGGCUGAUACCGCCCAAGAGUUCAUAUCGACGGCGGUGUUUGGCACCUCGAUGUCGGCUCAUCACAUCCUGGGGCUGAAGUAGGUCCCAAGGGUAUGGCUGUUCGCCAUUUAAAGUGGUACGCGAGCUGGGUUUAGAACGUCGUGAGACAGUUCGGUCCCUAUCUGCCGUGGGCGCUGGAGAACUGAGGGGGGCUGCUCCUAGUACGAGAGGACCGGAGUGGACGCAUCACUGGUGUUCGGGUUGUCAUGCCAAUGGCACUGCCCGGUAGCUAAAUGCGGAAGAGAUAAGUGCUGAAAGCAUCUAAGCACGAAACUUGCCCCGAGAUGAGUUCUCCCUGACUCCUUGAGAGUCCUGAAGGAACGUUGAAGACGACGACGUUGAUAGGCCGGGUGUGUAAGCGCAGCGAUGCGUUGAGCUAACCGGUACUAAUGAACCGUGAGGCUUAACCUU